This 75-nucleotide transfer RNA is filed under the name Bifidobacterium longum. RNAcentral describes it as "tRNA-Trp". It matches the Rfam family "tRNA". Rfam says of the family: Transfer RNA (tRNA) molecules are approximately 80 nucleotides in length. Their secondary structure includes four short double-helical elements and three loops (D, anti-codon, and T loops). The record is from RNAcentral. Lineage: Bacteria; Bacillati; Actinomycetota; Actinomycetes; Bifidobacteriales; Bifidobacteriaceae.
GCGUCGGUAGCUUAGCGGCAGAGUCACGGUCUCCAAAACCGUGGGAUGCUGGGUCGAGACCAGCCCGACGCGCGA